RNAcentral lists this ribosomal RNA (445 nucleotides) under uncultured bacterium. RNAcentral describes it as "bacterial SSU rRNA". It matches the Rfam family "Bacterial small subunit ribosomal RNA", at positions 29 to 506 of the family's 1533-position model. The record is from RNAcentral.
AUAAACGCUGGCGGCGUGCAUGAGACAUGCAAGUCGAACGGACGAUUCGGGCUUGCUCGAAUCGUUAGUGGCGGACGGGUGAGUAACACGUGGGAAUCUGCCCAAUAGUGGGGGACAGCCCGGCGAAAGCCGGAUUAAUACCGCAUACGCCCUACGGGGGAAAGGCGCAAGCCGCUAUUGGAUGAGCCCGCGUAAGAUUAGCUAGUUGGUGAGGUAAAGGCCCACCAAGGCAACGAUCUUUAGCUGGUCUGAGAGGAUGGCCAGCCACAUCGGGACUGAGACACGGCCCGGACUCCUACGGGAGGCAGCAGUCGGGAAUAUUGGACAAUGGGCGCAAGCCUGAUCCAGCAAUACCGCGUGUGUGAAGAAGGCCUGCGGGUUGUAAAGCACUUUCAGUGGGGAAGAUAAUGACGUUACCCACAGAAGAAGCACCGGCUAACUCCGU